UGGGCGGGCGGGCAGUCGUCAGUCUCGUGUCGCCGGCUCGCGUGAACAAACCGACCGCCGGCUCCUCCUCAAACACUAUGGAAGUGCGUAAUCGUGCAGUUUCCUAAAAAUAUUCAGAUAUAGCUACCGUCACCGUGUCACCGUCACCGUCAAUAAUGAUUUAAAAUGUUUAAAGAUCCACCCGAAGUGAACUGUGAUUGUCCGACUGACACAGAAUGUGAUCAGAUGGUAAAGUGACGUGAUGCAACUAGUAAUGCUAAACUUUUUAAUAAUGUUCGACGUCGUGUUUAUAUUCUUUCUGUUCCUGAUCGCUGUGACGUGUGUGAUGAACUACAUGCCGGGAAGGAAGCGCCAGGAAGCCACAGAAGACGACGUUGAUGAUGACGUCAUCCCCCCUCCCCCAUUGUUUGCGGGCGACGACGAAUUCCCCUCGGGCUGCCGUGAUACGUAUGUCGUGAUCUCGCCACCAAUGGACAACGACACAGCAAAGGACGGAUGUCCCGUACACAUUGUUUAAUAUAAGCACUGACAUGAUAUCAACGUAGGAGUUUAUUAUGAAGAAGCCUUAUGAUGUAAUCGUGGAAACGUAGACAUUUUUUACUAAUUAGUAAAUAUUAAAUGAGAUACUUGUUACGUAAUUAUUGUAAGUAAGGUUUGGGACGCAAUGGACAAAAAAAAAAUGAAUGUGAAGAUCUCGUAUGCAGUAAACGAUUGCGAAGUUUAACUUAGCUUAUUAAAUACAUAUAUUGUAUAAAUUUUUAUUGAAUGUUUUUUUGAAGGAGCAUUACACAUAAAAUUAGCGGAAACAAAAUAGUUUAGAAUGUAUUUAUCUAUAAUGGAUUUUUAUCAAUGUUCUUCAAAACAAUCUGGUAGAACUGUACUUUGGAGAUAGUGGCUUGAGAGUAUCUCUGGUAUUAGCUACACGAAAAAAAAACAAAAAAUUUGUACUUGUUUUGACAAUAAACGACUUAAGAAUUUACAUGGACAGAAAAAAUGUCAAGUACAAUAAGUAGUAAAAUCAAAGUUCGUUCCUAAAAUGACUAAGAUAUACAUCUGAAUAUAAUCUAUUGUCUAGAAUUUGCAUACAUCGGGCCUAAUUGAGGCUGUCAGCGCAAAAGUGGCGUAAUCCACAAUUUUU
This is a long non-coding RNA of Bombyx mandarina (wild silkworm), 1138 nucleotides long. RefSeq lists it as uncharacterized. The record is from RefSeq and is a predicted model, not a curated record. Lineage: Eukaryota; Metazoa; Arthropoda; Insecta; Lepidoptera; Bombycidae.